CGAGCUCCCCCUGAGCCGCUCGGGAACAGGGAGGGUUCUGCUACCCUGAGGGGCCCUCCCCGCGGGGCAGAGGGGUUUCCUCAGCAGUGCCCCCGAGCAGGGACCGCGCCAGCCAGCAGAAACAGCUAGUUGUUGUCUACAGUGAAGAAUAAUUGGAAGCAUGGUGCCUGCUUCUUUUCCUCCCAUCCUCGCCUAUGGCCAAGGGUUUCUCGUUUCUAGAAGAUGAAAGAUGUGAUGACUUAGGAAAAACUAGAAUCUGAGUAACUGUGGUGGGCACUGGGCCAGAGGUAGGCAUACACCUUGCCAUCCACAAGAGAAAGUGUGCUGUUCGAGAUGUGAGUCUUCAGAUGUUCCCGCCGCCAUAUCUGACAGCUGCUGCCAAGAUUCCCUGGUGCGAUGGACUCUUAUACCUCUACAACCAGAAGCCCAAGUAAACUCUUCUAUAAGUUGAAUGAAUCAUGCUUUAAAAAAAAAAACCUACUAUC
This 485-nucleotide long non-coding RNA is filed under the name Mus pahari (shrew mouse). RNAcentral's name for it is "lncRNA (MGP_PahariEiJ_G0012257.1)". Lineage: Eukaryota; Metazoa; Chordata; Mammalia; Rodentia; Muridae. The record is from RNAcentral.